CACAGCUUUUGAGAACGCAAGGUCACCUUUACAGAAUGAUGUGGCAAUUGGAGAAGGACUUUGGCGGAGGUCUAUGAAUAAUAAUCCAGUAAAUUCAACUUUCUUUGCUGCUGUGCCCUAACCACAUUACACCCUUGGAAAAUGUAUACUUAGUGACUAAUGACUUGGGCUAUAAACAUUAGUUAGCAAAUUUCCCUCUAAUUAUGUGUAAAUUUGAUUAAAAUAAUCAUAAUUUGCACAUGUCCAUUCAAUAAUUUUCUUUAGUGCUUUAUGCCAUGCAUUAAAAGCAUGCUUGGAGAGACUUAUCAGAUGCAACAUUUUUCUUACAGAGAUUUUAAAAAACCCAAGCUCCUAAAUGGAAACUAAGUAACUUGCACUCCAAGAGCUCAGGUCUACUCUUUCCAUGUUGUCUCAUUUCUAGUGAUUAUUUCACACAAGGAGAUAAAAGCCACUGACUCAAAGCUUUGGGUGAGUUUGCUGCCCUGCAGUGCUAUUUUCUUCUCACUUAAAUGAUGAUGAUGAUGGCAUUGAUGAUCAUUUAAAGAAUGUCAAGAACUCGUCGGCUGUUAGAACACAAUUCUGACUUUCAUGCUCAAACAAAAUGUGAAGAACUGAGCAGUCAAUCACUGACUUCCAAAGUUCAGAGGGCGACGGAACUCAUUGUAAAUGACUACGAGAAGAGGCUGCUGGACACAUUUCACCAACAGGAGGUGGAAACAAUGACUAUGGCAACAUACUGCUAUUGUUUGAAAAUCAGAAAGUGUAAUUGACUGGACCAUUUUCAUUGCCCAAGUUGAAUGAAAUUUACAGUUUACAAAGUAACUUCCUGUGUAGCCUGGGCAAGUUGCUGAACAUCUGUGGGCCUCAGUUUCCUAAUUUUUCAAAUGAAAGAAUUGGACUAGAUGUCUAAACUCCCAACUUUCAGU
This 926-nucleotide long non-coding RNA is filed under the name Monodelphis domestica (gray short-tailed opossum). Its description in RNAcentral is "lncRNA (ENSMODG00000043306.1)". Lineage: Eukaryota; Metazoa; Chordata; Mammalia; Didelphimorphia; Didelphidae. The record is from RNAcentral.